This 2283-nucleotide ribosomal RNA is filed under the name Triticum aestivum (bread wheat). RNAcentral's name for it is "partial small subunit ribosomal RNA". Lineage: Eukaryota; Viridiplantae; Streptophyta; Magnoliopsida; Poales; Poaceae. The record is from RNAcentral.
AUGGCGGCGCAGGAGGAGGAGAAGGCUGCGGGCAGGCGCGCGGGGCCGCACCCGCUGCUGCGCGGGCGGAGGCGGGACGGCAAGUACACGCACGGGCUGCACCCGGCGCAGAUGGAGGCGCUCCGCGCCAUGUGCGGCGCCUUCAUCCCCUCGCUGCCGGCCGAGGAGGCGGGCGCCGGCGGCCGCGCCGACCCGCCCGGCGCCAAGGACCUCGAGCGCUUCUACCUCGCCUCCGCCGCCGACUCCAACAUCCCCGACGAGGUUGCGGAGCUGAUGGUGACGCGGUGCAUACGGGAGGCGGCGCUGCUGGCGUGGGUGGUGCUGUGGGUGCUGAGCACGAGGGUGGGCACGCUGCUGCUGUGCGGCCGGCUGAGCCUCUGCGGCGCCGCCGGCGAGCUGCGCCGGUUCGCGGACAUGCCGGCGGAGCGGCAGGAGGCGGCGCUGCAGCGAUGGAACAGGACGCGCUGGCUCUUCCCGCUCAGGAUCGUCUUCGCCCUCGUCAAGAUCCUCUCCCACUAUGUCUUCUACACCAUGCCCGACGUGCAGGUCGACGAGAACUCAGAGAAUCCACACUGGAAAGCGAUUGGAUACAGCGUGGAAGAGUGGCAGAGAGACCGAGAUGAAGCGCCCGCCACAUCGCGGCCGCUGGACAAUGGCGUCGUCGAAACCAGAGCGCUGAACGACACCACCCUGCUCAGGUCACUCGCGGACAGGUGGCUCCCCGUGAAGCCGGGCGCGCAGCACACGGUGCAGUGCGAUGCCGUCAUCGUCGGGUCCGGCUGCGGCGGGGGCGUUGCAGCCGCGAUGCUCGCAUCCGCGGGGUACAAGGUGGUCGUCGUUGAGAAGGGCGACUACUUCGCCGCCGACGACUACAGCUCCGUCGAGGGUCCGUCCAUGGAGCGCCUCUUCGAGAAGGGCGGCAUCUUCUGCACGUCCAACGUAACGACCAUGGUGUUCACCGGCUCCACUGUCGGCGGCGGCUCCGCGGUGAACUGGUCGGCCUGCAUCCGCACGCCGGGGGAGGUCUUGCAGGAGUGGUCCCGCGACCACGGGCUCCCGUUGUUCGCGGGCCAGGACUACCAGCAGGCCAUGAACUCGGUGUGUGACCGGCUCGGCGUCACCGACGAGUGCCUGAAGGAAGGGUUCCAGAACAAGGUGCUGCGCCGAGGGUGCGAGGCGCUAGGGCUGCCUGUCGACGCCGUGCCACGUAACUCGUCGGCGGUACACUACUGCGGGAGCUGCAACUUCGGCUGCCCCACCGGCGACAAGCGCGGCACCGACACGACGUGGCUCGUCGACGCCGUCUUGCACGGCGCGGUGAUCCUGACCGGGUGCAAGGCCGAGCGCUUCAUCCUCCAGAGCAACAGCGGCAAGAACGGCCGGAGCAAGAAAUGCGUCGGCCUGUUGGCGACGUGCAUGAGCAACGGCAUCACCAAGAAGCUGCGCAUCGAGGCGAAGGUGUCCAUCUCGGCUUGCGGGGCACUCAUGACGCCUCCGCUGCUGCGCAACAGCGGGCUGAAGAACCGGCACAUCGGCCGGAACCUGCACCUCCACCCGGUGUCCAUGGCGUGGGGCUACUUCCCGGAGAACAAGCAGGCGGUGCCCAUCACCGGCAAGUCCUACGAGGGCGGCAUCAUCACGAGCAUGCACCGCGUCACACCGCGCACCAUCAUCGAGACGCCGGCGCUAGGGCCGGGGGCCUUCGCCGCCAUGGUGCCGUGGGAGUCGGGCCGCGACAUGAAGGAGCGCAUGAGCCGGUACGCGCGCACGGCGCACGCGUUCGCCCUCGUCCGCGACCGCGGCUCGGGGUUCGUAGACUGCGAGGGCCGCCUUCGCUUCACCCCCAGCCGCGACGACGCCCGCGAGCUCCGCAACGGCCUGCGCCACGUGCUGCGCAUCCUGGUGGCCGCCGGUGCGGCGGAGGUGGGCACGCACCGCAGCGACGGGCUCCGGCUGCGGUGCAAGGGCGUGCGCGACGAGGACCUGGAGGCGUUCCUGGACGAGGUGACCAUCGAGAAGGGGCCCAUGCACUCGACGGCGGACAAAUGGGCGGUCUUCUCCUCGGCCCAUCAGAUGGGCAGCUGCCGCAUGGGCUCCAGCCCCAAGGACAGCGCCGUCGACGGCAGCGGCGAGAGCUGGGAGGCCGAGGGCCUGUACGUCUGCGACGGCAGCCUCCUCCCCACCGCGGUCGGCGUCAACCCAAUGAUCACCAUUCAGUCCGUCGCCUACUGCCUCUCCAAGGGCAUCGCCGAGUCCAUGACCAACGGCCAGAAGCACUACUAG